Molecule: ribosomal RNA, 2898 nt
Filed under: Nanoarchaeota archaeon SCGC AAA011-K22
Lineage: Archaea; Nanobdellati; Nanobdellota
Also listed under: 2 other names
Description: bacterial LSU rRNA
Rfam family: Archaeal large subunit ribosomal RNA
Source: RNAcentral
UGUAAACCACUAGGUGGAUGACUCGGCUUGAUAUGAGAUGAAGGGCGCGACAAUCUGCGAUAAGCCUUGGCGAGAUGCACGUAAUCUUAGAACCAAGGAUCCCUGAAUGAGAAUCUCACUAAUUCCUAUAUAGGAAGUCGAACGCAGGGAACUGAAGCGUCUUAGUACCUGCAGGAAAAGAAAUCAAUUGAGAUGCUGCAAGUAUCAGCGAGAAAAAGCAGUAUAAGGUAAACCGAAUUCUCUAUGGUAACAUAGGGUAUAUGUGGUGUAAUAAGACUUGCUUUUCAUCCUGUUUAAGAGAUUUAAAGUCUCCUGGAAAGGAGUACCAGAGAGGGUGAUAGUCCCGUAGAGUUUUUUCAAUAGGAUUUGCAAGUAUCUUGAGUAACAUCCAUUGGAUUUUGGGUGUGAAUUUUGGAGAAAUCAACUUCAAACCUUAAAUAUAAGUCAAGACCGAUAGAAAAUAGUACAGUGAUGGAACGUUGAAAAGUACCUUUGACCGGGAGUCAAAAGACCCUGAAACCUAGUGGCUAUAGUAUGCUACUGCUCUUCGGAGUUGUAGCGUAUGUUUUGAAUAACAGGCCAGGGAGUGCAUUUAAGUGGCAAGAGUAAUCUGAAAAAGAGAACUCAAAGAGAAAUCAAGAACCCGCAGUUUACGAGGGGUGUGGUAUUAAAGUGCCAUAAGUCACUUGGGUGCGACCAGAAACUAGUCGAUCUAAUCCUGGGCAAGGUGAAGCGGUGGUAAAACAUCGUGGAGGCCUGAAGAGGUUCUAGGUACAUCUGUUCUUCUGACUUGGGAUUAGGGGUGAAAAGCCAAUCGAGACUGGUGAUAGCUGGUUCCUAUCGAAGUUGACCUAAGUCAAGUCUUGGGUGAGAUAGCUGAAUGUGUAGAGUCACGGAUUGGGGGUACAGGGAAAGAAAUUUCUCGGCCUCUUGUUCAACUCCAAAUCAUUCAACAUCGUAGAACUCAGGAGACGGGGGCUCUGGGGUAAGCUUGAGUCCCGAGAGGGGAACAACCCAAAUUGCAAUUAAGGUCCCAAAAUAUCAGUUAAGUGUUAAAGGGUGAAAGGUGUGUAUUACCAGAGACAGCAGGGAGGUAUGCUCAGAAGCAGCAAUCCUUCAAAGAAAGCGUAAUAGCUCACCUGUCAAGGUAAUAUGCCCUGAAAAUUGACGGGGCUAAACUGAUUACCGAUAUUGUAAUCUAAUCCUUAUUGGAUUAAUGUGAUAGGUAGGCGUUUUGUAAGGGUAGAAGUUUCUCCGUAAGGAGGGGUGGACCUUAUAAAAAUGAAAAUCCUGGCAGUAGUAGGACCUACUCAGAGUGAGACUCUCUGAUACCGAAAGGGCAAGGGUUUCUUAGCACUGUAGUUCAGCUAAGAGUAAGUUGAUCCUAACCAUCGUCUUAAUCAGAUUUGAUGGGAAAGGGAAAAAUGUUAAUAUUCAUUUACUAUCUAAGUACACGUGGCAACACAAGAUUAUUUCCUGACACUUCUGGUUAGACUGACGUUAAUCGUCGUUAACGCUAACUGGAAUAAAUCUGGGGAGUAUUAUAAUGAUGAGAACCAGAUUAAAUCUAGGAACAGCCAACAUUAGUUGGUUCAGUUGAGACCAGGAGUCCGUGAAAAAGGAAAUGAUAAGGAUCUUAGAUAUUCAUACCCAGAACCUGCACAGGUGCCCCUAGGUGAGUAGCCUAAGGUAUGAGGGAUUAAUCUAGUUAAGGGAAAUCGGCAAAUUGGCAGCGUUCCUUCGGUUUAAGCUGUCCCUGCGUUUGUGUUUUAAGAAUGCGAAUACAGGGUUCAAUAACUAGGGGGAUCCGACUGUUUAACAAAAACACAACCAACUGCUAGCCAGUAAUGGUCUGUAUAGUUGGUGACGUCUGCCCAGUACUAGUACUUCAAACUCCGGUUCAACGGAGCUAAGAGCUAGCAAACGGCGGGAGUAACUAUAACUCUCUUAAGGUAAACACUAAAGUUGCCUUAGUAAAAUCUGGCUAUAUGCUGGAAAGUCUGAGUAUCCUGAACUACCUUACUUGACACACUUGACAUGUCAGCGCAUGGUUUAUAUAUAAAAAAGUGUUAAUCUUGUAAGGUGAUAAUGUGACAGGUGCAGAUAAUCAGCAGGAAAGAUUAGAUGUCAAAUGGAUUGUUGGAUUUGUUGAUGGAGAAGGUUGUUUUCACGUCUCUAUUAAUAAAUUACCAAAAAUGACACUAGGUUGGCAAGUCCUUCCAGAGUUUAGGGUUGUUCAGCAUAAACGUGAUGAAGCAGUGCUUGAUAAACUAAAAACAUUUUUUGGUUUUGGGAACAUUGUUGUAAAUCAUGGAGACCGAAAAGAAUUCAGAGUAAGAGGCCUAGAGAAUUUGAAUAAAAUAAUUCAGUUCUUCAAAGAAAAUCCUCUUAAAACAUCUAAACAAAAAAACUUUGAACUUUUUUCAGAAAUAAUAUGCUUAAUGAACAAAGAACAACACUUGACAAGAGAAGGGUUAGAAAAUAUUGCUAAUCUGGCUUCACAGAUGAAUAAAAAAAUUAUUAGACAUCUAGAAUCCUCAGAGACUAUACGCCAGAACUCUUUAAAUAAAGAGUAAGAUAUAGUCCGACCCUUACAGCGAUGUAAGGAGGUAUAUAGAAACAUAUGCCCACCUUCUAAUAGAAGGUCAGUACCUCAAAUGAGGGAAAGUAACAGACGUGAGCGAAAUGCCUUGUCGUUUAAUUGGCGACCUGCAUGAAGGCGUAACGAGAUCCCCACUGUCCCUAACUAGAACCCCCUGAAUACUCUCUAUUGGUGCAAAGGCCAGUGACCUCCAGUGGGAAGCGAAGACCCCGUAGAACUUUACUGCAGUUUGUUUUGGUGCUACGAGUUUCGUUGUUCAGCAUAGGUAGGAGUUGCUAAAGCUUAAUCGUCAGGUU